GACGAACGCUGGCGGCGCGCCUAACACAUGCAAGUCGAACGAGAGAUGAGGAGCUUGCUCUUCAGAUCGAGUGGCGAACGGGUGAGUAACGCGUGAGGAACCUGCCUCAAAGAGGGGGACAACAGUUGGAAACGACUGCUAAUACCGCAUAAGCCCACGGCUCGGCAUCGAGCAGAGGGAAAAGGAGCAAUCCGCUUUGAGAUGGCCUCGCGUCCGAUUAGCUAGUUGGUGAGGUAACGGCCCACCAAGGCGACGAUCGGUAGCCGGACUGAGAGGUUGAACGGCCACAUUGGGACUGAGACACGGCCCAGACUCCUACGGGAGGCAGCAGUGGGGAAUAUUGCACAAUGGGGGAAACCCUGAUGCAGCGACGCCGCGUGGAGGAAGAAGGUCUUCGGAUUGUAAACUCCUGUUGUUGAGGAAGAUAAUGAC
RNAcentral lists this ribosomal RNA (432 nucleotides) under uncultured bacterium. RNAcentral describes it as "bacterial SSU rRNA". It matches the Rfam family "Bacterial small subunit ribosomal RNA", at positions 28 to 455 of the family's 1533-position model. The record is from RNAcentral.